Molecule: ribosomal RNA, 328 nt
Filed under: uncultured eukaryote
Lineage: Eukaryota
Description: partial 18S ribosomal RNA
Rfam family: Eukaryotic small subunit ribosomal RNA
Source: RNAcentral
CCCUUAGAUGUCCUGGGCCGCACGCGCGCCACACUGAGUGUCUGAGAUACGAGUCUGCCUAGCCGGCGAGGUCUAGGUAAUCGCUGAAAGACACAUCAUGCUUGGGAUAGAUUAUUGCAGAUAUUAAUCUUGAACGAGGAAUUCCUAGUAAGCGCAAGUCAACAGCUUGCGUUGAUUACGUCCCUGCCCUUUGUACACACCGCCCGUCGCUACUACUGAUUGGAUGUUUAAGCGAGGUUCUCGAACUGCUAGCGACUUAGCUUCGGUGAGGUCGCCGUGUGGGAAGUGAACCUAGCUUUGGUGUCUAGAGGAAGUAAAAGUCGUAACA